GAAAUGCGAUAAGUAAUGUGAAUUGCAGAAUUCCGUGAAUCAUCAAAUCUUUGAACGCACAUUGCGCUCAUUGGCAUUCCGAUGAGCAUAUCUGUUUGAGAAUCAGUUUAACUAUCAUGACCAGAUUUCUGGGAAUGGAAUUGGGACUUUUUGCUAAUAAUUAGCAAGAGACCUUAAUAAAAUUUGUAGCCUUGAUUUAUUAACAUUCAACCUAAGGCAUGAUUAAUGAACUUUUCUAGUUCUCUAAUGCUAAUGGGUAGUAUGCUAAGAAAGUUAAAGGAAACAUAUUAAAAACACGAGGGGAAACCCUUAAGACUUGGUCUCAAAUCAGAUAAGACUACCCGCUGAACUUAA
This 354-nucleotide unclassified non-coding RNA is filed under the name uncultured fungus. RNAcentral's name for it is "sequence contains ITS1". The stretch from base 1 to 105 matches the Rfam family "5.8S ribosomal RNA", at positions 50 to 154 of the family's 154-position model. Lineage: Eukaryota; Fungi. The record is from RNAcentral.